UUUUUUUGUCCUCGUAAGUCCUGAUUUCGAGGCGCCCACCAAGAAAAUGCGAGCUGCUUUACCGGCAGAAAUCGGGAUGCCUCACCACGUCUGGAACUGCAGCCAAGCUGGGGCGUUAGUGGCCUCUGUGCUGCAAGGGGAUUUGGUGGGUUUGGGCCAGGCACUGUCAUCUGAUAAGAUCGUGGAGCCCAAAAGGGCGCCAUUGAUUCCUGGGAUGGAAGAGGUGAAGAAGGCCGCGAUGAGGGCUGGGGCAUUUGGGUGUACCAUUAGCGGGGCAGGGCCUACGGCUGUGGCGGUGAUUGAUGAUGAAGAGAGAGGAAAGGAGAUUGGGAAGAGCAUGGUGGAAGCCUUUUCGAAGGAAGGGAAUUUGAAAGCUGUGGCUAUGGUGAAGAGGUUAGAUAGAAUUGGUGCUAGACUUGUUGGCAGUGUUCCAACUAGAUAAUCAAAGAUUUCUCU
This 456-nucleotide unclassified non-coding RNA is filed under the name Hevea brasiliensis (rubber tree). Lineage: Eukaryota; Viridiplantae; Streptophyta; Magnoliopsida; Malpighiales; Euphorbiaceae. The record is from RNAcentral.